This 494-nucleotide ribosomal RNA is filed under the name uncultured bacterium. RNAcentral describes it as "partial 16S ribosomal RNA". It matches the Rfam family "Bacterial small subunit ribosomal RNA", at positions 28 to 507 of the family's 1533-position model. The record is from RNAcentral.
GACGAACGCUGGCGGCGUGCUUAACACAUGCCAGUCGAACGGUGAAGCGCCUUCCUUUUUGGUGGGUGUGGAUGAGUGGCGAACGGGUGAGUAACACGUGAGUAACCUGCCCCCUUCUUCUGGAUAACCGCAUGAAAGUGUGGCUAAUACGGGAUAUUCUGGGUCUGUCGCAUGAUGGGUCUGGGAAAGAUAUUGUUUCGGUGGGGGAUGGGCUCGCGGCCUAUCUGCUUGUUGGUGGGGUGAUGGCCUACCAAGGCGGUGACGGGUAGCCGGCCUGAGAGGGUGGACGGACACACUGGGACUGAGACACGGCCCAGACUCCUACGGGAGGCAGCAGUGGGGAAUAGUGCACAAUGGGCGCAAGGCUGAUGCAGCGACGCCGCGUGAGGGAUGGAGGCCUUCGGGUUGUGAACCUCUUUCGCCAGUGAAGCAUGCCUGCCUCGUUUGUGGGUGGGUUGACGGUAGCUGGAUAAGAAGCGCCGGCUAACUACGUG